This 1246-nucleotide long non-coding RNA is filed under the name Theobroma cacao (cacao). Its description in RNAcentral is "long non-coding RNA (TCAC_LNC002275)". The record is from RNAcentral. Lineage: Eukaryota; Viridiplantae; Streptophyta; Magnoliopsida; Malvales; Malvaceae.
AAAUGUACAUUUCGCAUCUAAAAAUAAUUUUAGUAAUCUAAAUCAUCCAUUUAAAAUGAAAUUUUGGCUAAUCAAACUAAAUAAAAAUAUUAAAUAAAAUAUUUUAUUUUCUUAUAAAACAAUAUUUAUAGAAUCCUGCAUAAAUAAUUUUUGUAGCGUAAGAGUAAAAUAAAUUCACAUUUGUAAUAGCACACUAAACCAAGUAUACGAAAAUAUUCUACAAUGACAUGUGGGUCCCAAAAUAACCGCAAAUAUACAAGACUGUAGACCUUCGAUUUCUAAGGAUGCAAAUCCAAAAGCAACCCUCGACAAAAUUGACUGUCUAUAGACUGUCUUGAGCCUGAAAUGGAUAAAAAGAAUGGGUGAGUUUUUACAAACCCAGUGAGUAAGCAAAAUUCAUCUAUAACAUCUAAAGCCGAGUAAAUGGAGAUAGUUAAAUCAUCCCAUCAUAAUAUAGUUCAUAACAUUCAAAACUCAUUUCAAUUCCUAUAAAACAAUUACAUUUCAUCAAAAUAAUCAACAAAGCUUAUGAUUCUCUUAAAAACUUGGCUUGUGCCAAAACUCAUACUCGGUGACACCUUGGCCUAGGCAUCCAACCGAGUCCGUCAAGGAUGUUAAAACGACAUAUACCCAUAAAACACAUUUUUACUUUUAAAAUAUAGCAAUUCCUUGGCGUUGGCUGAGUUUCAUCCUCACGUGAUGGUUCGGCGUGAAGUGAACUUUAAACUUACCUUAGGAGAUACCCUCCGCGCUUCUCAUACUAAGGUAAAAUAUAACGGGGUUUACCGUGCCCCUCUAUUAGGCUGGUCCACGAAAACCCUCCCACUGUAGUAAGCUAAAUACAUAACCCACCAAACCAAUAAAAUUUCGACAGCAUAACAUGGCUAAUAUAGUACUAUCUAGCCUGUUAAUGUAAGGCAAAACAAUUUAUAUAAUUCACAAAACCACAAUUCUAACCAUUCAUGCUACCACAAUUUCAUAAGUCAUCAAUUCAAAUCAUGUAUAUAUAUAUAAUAUGAAUGUAUAGCCUCCACUUACUCUAUUUCAAAAAUCAACAUUUAGUUUUAGAAUAAUUUAUAAAUCUCAUUCAUUUAACCAUCACUUAACUUGUAAAAUAUAAAAAUCUACGGUUUAAGUUUAUUAUUCUUUAAAAUCAUAAAAAAAGGAAUAUAAACUACUUUAGAUAGUUAAGAUGAACAUUUGAUUACUCACAAUAGUAGGAGUUUGGAGUACUCAUAUUCUUGAU